Molecule: ribosomal RNA, 497 nt
Filed under: uncultured bacterium
Lineage: Bacteria
Description: partial 16S ribosomal RNA
Rfam family: Bacterial small subunit ribosomal RNA
Source: RNAcentral
GAUGAACGCUGGCGGCGUGCCUAAUACAUGCAAGUCGAGCGAACGGACGAGAAGCUUGCUUUUCUGAUGUUAGCGGCGGACGGGUGAGUAACACGUGGAUAACCUACCUAUAAGACUGGGAUAACUUCGGGAAACCGGAGCUAAUACCGGAUAAUAUUUUGAACCGCAUGGUUCAUAAGUGAAAGACGGUCUUGCUGUCACUUAUAGAUGGAUCCGCGCUGCAUUAGCUAGUUGGUAAGGUAACGGCUUACCAAGGCAACGAUGCAUAGCCGACCUGAGAGGGUGAUCGGCCACACUGGAACUGAGACACGGUCCAGACUCCUACGGGAGGCAGCAGUAGGGAAUCUUCCGCAAUGGGCGAAAGCCUGACGGAGCAACGCCGCGUGAGUGAUGAAGGUCUUCGGAUCGUAAAACUCUGUUAUUAGGGAAGAACAUAUGUGUAAGUAACUGUGCACAUCUUGACGGUACCUAAUCAGAAAGCCACGGCUAUCUACGUG